Molecule: ribosomal RNA, 3902 nt
Filed under: Klebsiella variicola
Lineage: Bacteria; Pseudomonadati; Pseudomonadota; Gammaproteobacteria; Enterobacterales; Enterobacteriaceae
Also listed under: 1 other name
Description: 23S ribosomal RNA
Rfam family: Bacterial large subunit ribosomal RNA
Source: RNAcentral
UUAAGCGACUAAGCGUACACGGUGGAUGCCCUGGCAGUCAGAGGCGAUGAAGGACGUGCUAAUCUGCGAAAAGCGUCGGUAAGGUGAUAUGAACCGUUAUAACCGGCGAUGUCCGAAUGGGGAAACCCAGUGUGAUUCGUCACACUAUCGUUAACUGAAUACAUAGGUUAACGAGGCGAACCGGGGGAACUGAAACAUCUAAGUACCCCGAGGAAAAGAAAUCAACCGAGAUUCCCCCAGUAGCGGCGAGCGAACGGGGAGCAGCCCAGAGUCUGAAUCAGCUUGUGUGUUAGUGGAACGGUCUGGAAAGUCCGACGGUACAGGGUGAUAGUCCCGUACACCAAAAUGCACAGGUUGUGAACUCGAAGAGUAGGGCGGGACACGUGGUAUCCUGUCUGAAUAUGGGGGGACCAUCCUCCAAGGCUAAAUACUCCUGACUGACCGAUAGUGAACCAGUACCGUGAGGGAAAGGCGAAAAGAACCCCGGCGAGGGGAGUGAAAAAGAACCUGAAACCGUGUACGUACAAGCAGUGGGAGCACCUUCGGGUGUGACUGCGUACCUUUUGUAUAAUGGGUCAGCGACUUAUAUUCUGUAGCAAGGUUAACCGUAUAGGGGAGCCGCAGGGAAACCGAGUCUUAACUGGGCGUUAAGUUGCAGGGUAUAGACCCGAAACCCGGUGAUCUAGCCAUGGGCAGGUUGAAGGUUGGGUAACACUAACUGGAGGACCGAACCGACUAAUGUUGAAAAAUUAGCGGAUGACUUGUGGCUGGGGGUGAAAGGCCAAUCAAACCGGGAGAUAGCUGGUUCUCCCCGAAAGCUAUUUAGGUAGCGCCUCGUGAAUUCAUCUUCGGGGGUAGAGCACUGUUUCGGCUAGGGGGUCAUCCCGACUUACCAACCCGAUGCAAACUACGAAUACCGAAGAAUGUUAUCACGGGAGACACACGGCGGGUGCUAACGUCCGUCGUGAAGAGGGAAACAACCCAGACCGCCAGCUAAGGUCCCAAAGUCAUGGUUAAGUGGGAAACGAUGUGGGAAGGCACAGACAGCCAGGAUGUUGGCUUAGAAGCAGCCAUCAUUUAAAGAAAGCGUAAUAGCUCACUGGUCGAGUCGGCCUGCGCGGAAGAUGUAACGGGGCUAAACNCACUAUCGUUAACUGAAUACAUAGGUUAACGAGGCGAACCGGGGGAACUGAAACAUCUAAGUACCCCGAGGAAAAGAAAUCAACCGAGAUUCCCCCAGUAGCGGCGAGCGAACGGGGAGCAGCCCAGAGUCUGAAUCAGCUUGUGUGUUAGUGGAACGGUCUGGAAAGUCCGACGGUACAGGGUGAUAGUCCCGUACACCAAAAUGCACAGGUUGUGAACUCGAAGAGUAGGGCGGGACACGUGGUAUCCUGUCUGAAUAUGGGGGGACCAUCCUCCAAGGCUAAAUACUCCUGACUGACCGAUAGUGAACCAGUACCGUGAGGGAAAGGCGAAAAGAACCCCGGCGAGGGGAGUGAAAAAGAACCUGAAACCGUGUACGUACAAGCAGUGGGAGCACCUUCGGGUGUGACUGCGUACCUUUUGUAUAAUGGGUCAGCGACUUAUAUUCUGUAGCAAGGUUAACCGUAUAGGGGAGCCGCAGGGAAACCGAGUCUUAACUGGGCGUUAAGUUGCAGGGUAUAGACCCGAAACCCGGUGAUCUAGCCAUGGGCAGGUUGAAGGUUGGGUAACACUAACUGGAGGACCGAACCGACUAAUGUUGAAAAAUUAGCGGAUGACUUGUGGCUGGGGGUGAAAGGCCAAUCAAACCGGGAGAUAGCUGGUUCUCCCCGAAAGCUAUUUAGGUAGCGCCUCGUGAAUUCAUCUUCGGGGGUAGAGCACUGUUUCGGCUAGGGGGUCAUCCCGACUUACCAACCCGAUGCAAACUACGAAUACCGAAGAAUGUUAUCACGGGAGACACACGGCGGGUGCUAACGUCCGUCGUGAAGAGGGAAACAACCCAGACCGCCAGCUAAGGUCCCAAAGUCAUGGUUAAGUGGGAAACGAUGUGGGAAGGCACAGACAGCCAGGAUGUUGGCUUAGAAGCAGCCAUCAUUUAAAGAAAGCGUAAUAGCUCACUGGUCGAGUCGGCCUGCGCGGAAGAUGUAACGGGGCUAAACCAUGCACCGAAGCUGCGGCAGCGACACUAUGUGUUGUUGGGUAGGGGAGCGUUCUGUAAGCCUGCGAAGGUGGCCUGUGAGGGUUGCUGGAGGUAUCAGAAGUGCGAAUGCUGACAUAAGUAACGAUAAAGCGGGUGAAAAGCCCGCUCGCCGGAAGACCAAGGGUUCCUGUCCAACGUUAAUCGGGGCAGGGUGAGUCGACCCCUAAGGCGAGGCCGAAAGGCGUAGUCGAUGGGAAACAGGUUAAUAUUCCUGUACUUGGUGUUACUGCGAAGGGGGGACGGAGAAGGCUAUGUUAGCCGGGCGACGGUUGUCCCGGUUUAAGCAUGUAGGCGGAGGUUCCAGGUAAAUCCGGUACCUUUUAACGCUGAGGUGUGAUGACGAGGCACUACGGUGCUGAAGUAACAAAUGCCCUGCUUCCAGGAAAAGCCUCUAAGCAUCAGGUAACAUUAAAUCGUACCCCAAACCGACACAGGUGGUCAGGUAGAGAAUACCAAGGCGCUUGAGAGAACUCGGGUGAAGGAACUAGGCAAAAUGGUGCCGUAACUUCGGGAGAAGGCACGCUGGUGUGUAGGUGAAGCCCCUGCGGGUGGAGCUGAGACCAGUCGAAGAUACCAGCUGGCUGCAACUGUUUAUUAAAAACACAGCACUGUGCAAACACGAAAGUGGACGUAUACGGUGUGACGCCUGCCCGGUGCCGGAAGGUUAAUUGAUGGGGUUAUCCGUAAGGAGAAGCUCUUGAUCGAAGCCCCGGUAAACGGCGGCCGUAACUAUAACGGUCCUAAGGUAGCGAAAUUCCUUGUCGGGUAAGUUCCGACCUGCACGAAUGGCGUAAUGAUGGCCAGGCUGUCUCCACCCGAGACUCAGUGAAAUUGAACUCGCUGUGAAGAUGCAGUGUACCCGCGGCAAGACGGAAAGACCCCGUGAACCUUUACUAUAGCUUGACACUGAACAUUGAGCCUUGAUGUGUAGGAUAGGUGGGAGGCUUUGAAGCGUGGACGCCAGUCUGCGUGGAGCCAACCUUGAAAUACCACCCUUUAAUGUUUGAUGUUCUAACGUUGGCCCCUUAUCGGGGUUGCGGACAGUGUCUGGUGGGUAGUUUGACUGGGGCGGUCUCCUCCCAAAGAGUAACGGAGGAGCACGAAGGUUAGCUAAUCCUGGUCGGACAUCAGGAGGUUAGUGCAAUGGCAUAAGCUAGCUUGACUGCGAGCGUGACGGCGCGAGCAGGUGCGAAAGCAGGUCAUAGUGAUCCGGUGGUUCUGAAUGGAAGGGCCAUCGCUCAACGGAUAAAAGGUACUCCGGGGAUAACAGGCUGAUACCGCCCAAGAGUUCAUAUCGACGGCGGUGUUUGGCACCUCGAUGUCGGCUCAUCACAUCCUGGGGCUGAAGUAGGUCCCAAGGGUAUGGCUGUUCGCCAUUUAAAGUGGUACGCGAGCUGGGUUUAGAACGUCGUGAGACAGUUCGGUCCCUAUCUGCCGUGGGCGCUGGAGAAUUGAGGGGGGCUGCUCCUAGUACGAGAGGACCGGAGUGGACGCAUCACUGGUGUUCGGGUUGUCAUGCCAAUGGCACUGCCCGGUAGCUAAAUGCGGAAGAGAUAAGUGCUGAAAGCAUCUAAGCACGAAACUUGCCCCGAGAUGAGUUCUCCCUGAGACUAUAAGUCUCCUGAAGGAACGUUGAAGACGACGACGUUGAUAGGCCGGGUGUGUAAGCGCAGCGAUGCGUUGAGCUAACCGGUACUAAUGAACCGUGAGGCUUAACCUU